CUUCAAUACUUGUUCAAAACAUUGCAGUAUUUUUGUACCAUUUAUAUCAGCUUUUGAUCAUGCCAGCAUAUCUUUUGACUAAACUGAUCAUAAAAUACAUUUAUUUUAGAGUGUAUGACGCGUUAUAUCAAGCAUUUAGAUAAGCUUCUGAAACCAUGGUUCAAAAGAUGGCAUAAUACUUUAUGUUGCACUGUUUGAUUAAAAGUUCAAUACACUGGAUCCAUUGAAUCACCACUGUGUUCUUUUCCUUCCUUCUUUAAAUUAAGAAAGAUGCUGUUAAUCAAGUAUAUUUUUGCAAGAUUUGUUUUUGCCACUUUAUCGAGGAGAAAAAUAAUCGGGAAUAUGUGAAACUUAAAUAUUACCUAAUAUAAAUAUAUCAAGAAAUUGAGAAAAUCUCUGAAAUAAAUCGCAAGAAGUUGGCUAGAAAUUAAAAGCACAUUAAGACCGUUGUGACCUUCUGCUGUUGUUUUUUUCUAUGGUCGGGUUGUUGUCUCUUUGGCACAUUCCCCAUUUCCAUUCUCAAUUUUAUUUACAAAUAUUAGUUGAUUCACACUUUUUAUCACUAUCAUUUGAACUUUAUUGUAAAUAACUAUUGUAAGGUUCUCCUUUUCUUUGGGAUCUAUACUAUUUUGAAAGUCACUGCAAAGAAGGAAGCAACAUACAUUUAAUUUUCAUCCUGAAUAUGCUUGAAAUAUUUGCCACUAGAUAUUAUGCUAAGAACAAUCGAUAAAGCCAUUUUAGAUGGUGAUUUUUCCCUAUAUGGUCUUGUGUUCAUAAUAUUUAUAACAUUGAACUAACAUUAAAAACAUAGAAUUUUAUUGAAAACUUCACUAUAAAUACAAAGGCACAUAUCUGAAACAGUACAUGUAAUAAUUAGGAAAGCAUUUUGCAAAAAUUGAAUGAUAGAUAUAAAAAAUUAUGAUUUAGACAUUUUGUGUUUGAAUAUUAAUAAAUGUAUGAAUAAUACACAUUCAAACAAAGAAAUAUAUACUAUAGAAAACAUUACCUCUCAAAUCGUUGGUUUCAUUUUUUUGUAAGCAUAUUUUUAGAAAUUUUAUGUAUUAAGAAAUUUCAUAUUUACAUAUCUUUUUGGUUAUAAAGAUUCUAAAGCGAUGUUAAAUUUCCUUUCCAGGUGAUCAAUUUAACUAAACAAUAAGUUAACAAUUACAUGUGCAUAGAGCUUCAUUAAUUGUAUCUUGAGACACAAAAUCAUAGUAUUCUUCAUAAAAAGCGGGUCUAAUUAAUAAUUUUGUCCUAAUUCAUAGAUUUUUCAAUCAGCGCUUUUCAUACCGUCAUUAAUUUGGGUUAGCUCCCUUAUUCAUGUGUUCUGUAUAUGAAUAUUGAAUUAGUUUGGGUUUUAUUUGUAAACAUGACAGAUAUACAUUCACUAUGUAGUGAAGAGCAAACUUAAAAAAUAUUUGAAAUCAAGCUUUUUGUUUUACAUUGUUUGUCAAAAUUUUCAUUGAUAAUUGUCCCUGAUUUUGUAGUCCAUCAUUUAAUUGUUGGCGCUUUAUUUGAUUAAAAAAAAAAUGGAAUAUUUAGCCAUAUUUUCUACUGGUAUAGAUUUUUACUGGAUUUUUAGACUUUCAAAAAUGUUCAAUACAGAAAAGAGUAAAUAAAAAAUCCUGGUGCUUCUACUUCGUUGAUGUUUUUUUAAGAGAAAAAGAUGUUUGCAUUUUAUAAAUACAAACAUAAAAUUAAUAAACUGAUGUAGCUGUACAAUAUUAAUUAUGCAUGAUGAAAGGGAGGCUUUUAAAAAAAAAUAUGGUUGUAAAGAUUUAUGUUUGUAUUGUAUUAUUUCUGUGUGAUAUUAUUUGUAUAUUGUCAGUUACACUACAAAAAUUAUGAGUACAUAAUGAUUUGAUAAGUUAAUAAAUUAUAUUUGUCCAUAUAAAAAGCAUGCUAUGAAAAGGAUUGUAACUGUAAUAUAAAAGUGGUAAACUUAAAGCUUCAUUCAAUAGUAUUUCAAAGAUGGAUAUUUCUGUGGGUUAAUUUUUCAUGAUUUCAAUGUAUAAACUUUUGGUUUUAUUCACUCAUUCACCAAUAAGUUCUGUACCAAUAUUGUGUUGAAUUAUUAAAGCUGUUGGUAUUUUGCUACAUUUUACAUGAUCCCUAGAUUAGUGAAGAUAGCUCCAGCACAAAAAUAUUGUCAUUCACAGUAACUGUGUGUCCUUCCUACAUUAAAAUAAAGUUAUCUCCCCUUUUCAUUCACACAGUAACAUAAAGAAAAAUGUAUAUGUAUUAUGUGUUUCACCCACUUGCCAACUGCAAUGGACUUAUAACUUACAUUAGUGUAUUUGUGACAUGUAUGUGCAUUCAUCUUUAGUUUUUACGAUACACUUUGAGUCAUACAAUGAUUAAAAGUAGAGUCUAGCUGUUACUUAUUUUUUUUUUUUCACUUCUUUUGUAAAUGUUAUAUUUAUAUUGUAUAUUUUCUUAUUAUUUAUUACCUUACGUAAUACUGUGCAAAUCCAUGGAAUAUGUUUACCACUCCGAUCACCACAUUAUUUCCCGUACUUUGUAUGAUGUAUUUGAGGGACAGAUUUAGGUUACGAUAAAACAAUAAACUGUGAUUGGUUUCUGUUAUGUAUAAUAUAUGGAAUAUACAACUGUGGUCUUUGUUGGUUAAUAAAUUGUGAUAUACCAUGGUUAAUUUGCUUUAUUUACCUUUAUUUAUUUUGUCUGUUUAGUUAACGCAUCAAUGUAAAUAUAACAGAAUUUGAUGAGACUGUCAUCAAAGUGAGAGGGUUAGUGCUAUAAAACCAGGUUUAAUCCACCAUUUCCUACAUUUGAAAAUGCCUGUACCAAGUCAGGAAUAUGACAGUUCUUGUCCAUUUGUUUUUGAUGCGUUUUGUUAUUUGAUUUUGCUAUGUGAUUAUGGACGUUCCGAAUUGAUUUUCCUCUAAGUUCAGUAUUUUUGUGAUUUUACUUUUUGCUAAGAGUGUUGGGAUGAAUGAUGAAUAGGGGUGUCAAAUCAGUGAAUAAUUUCUAAUCAAGUACUCGUUGGUUUUACAGAUUGAUAAUCAAGUACUCGCUUAGUUAAUAUCUGGAAAAAUAAAACACUACUAUACAUAUUUUACCCUUGAUGGGUAACUGUCUAGUUGACGUUGCACAUUAUAAGCCGGGGCUAGACCACAGUCAAAGGAAUAAUAUAUAAUAAUUUUUCAAGCA
RNAcentral lists this long non-coding RNA (3171 nucleotides) under Mytilus galloprovincialis (Mediterranean mussel). Lineage: Eukaryota; Metazoa; Mollusca; Bivalvia; Mytilida; Mytilidae. The record is from RNAcentral.